GAAGAGACUUUUUUGUAUAUGAUAGUCACGUUGAAAGUCUUACCUAAACUCUUCAGACUAAAUAUGAUAAAGCCUAUAAAACAAAUUCUAACUACAUACCAUACCUCCAAAAUGCAGAACAUAAUCCAGAGCUUGGGCAAAGUGGGGACUCUGCGUGCCCUGAUUGACGAGUUCUAAAUAGAUCUGGUUUAGCCAGUGAAUGUUGUCGACGCUAAAAAAAACACGUUCGGCUACCUCUUGGGGAUUGACUCCUGUUGGUAAGUUCACAUCUCCAGUAGUAUCUUUAUAGACUCUAAAAAGAAUUUCUAUUUUGGAAACGAUUUGUUCUUUAAGUGUAGCUAUUGUUAAAUCAUUUACUUUCUCCUCGAAAUUAAUGGCAUUUACGUCUCUGGCUUGCCCGGCCCUAAAAGCGACAAGAAGUGCAAUAGAGAAACUUAAUGCUAGGGAGAAUACGUACUGGGAUACCAGUAAAUCCAUAUGGUUAUUCUUUUUUUGAGUCUAGGAGGAAUGCCGCUUUCUUUAAAAUAACUCAGUUUCCGAACAGAUUUGUCGGAUAUAGAUAGAUACCUUAACCAAAC
This 578-nucleotide unclassified non-coding RNA is filed under the name Hevea brasiliensis (rubber tree). Lineage: Eukaryota; Viridiplantae; Streptophyta; Magnoliopsida; Malpighiales; Euphorbiaceae. The record is from RNAcentral.